This 21-nucleotide microRNA is filed under the name Brassica rapa (field mustard). Its description in RNAcentral is "bra-miR408-5p". Its record names the gene bra-miR408-5p. The record is from miRBase by way of RNAcentral. Lineage: Eukaryota; Viridiplantae; Streptophyta; Magnoliopsida; Brassicales; Brassicaceae.
GGGAGCCAGGGAAGAGGCAGU